UACGUAGGGUGCGAGCGUUGUCCGGAAUCACUGGGCGUAAAGGGUGCGUAGGCGGGUCUUUAAGUCAGGGGUGAAAUCCUGGAGCUCAACUCCAGAACUGCCUUUGAUACUGAGGAUCUUGAGUACGGGAGAGGUGAGUGGAACUGCGAGUGUAGAGGUGAAAUUCGUAGAUAUUCGCAAGAACACCAGUGGCGAAGGCGGCUCACUGGCCCGUAACUGACGCUGAGGCACGAAAGCGUGGGGAGCAAACAGG
Molecule: ribosomal RNA, 253 nt
Filed under: uncultured bacterium
Lineage: Bacteria
Description: partial 16S ribosomal RNA
Rfam family: Bacterial small subunit ribosomal RNA
Source: RNAcentral